RNAcentral lists this transfer RNA (75 nucleotides) under Crassvirales sp. Its description in RNAcentral is "tRNA-Ala". It matches the Rfam family "tRNA". From Rfam's summary of the family: Transfer RNA (tRNA) molecules are approximately 80 nucleotides in length. Their secondary structure includes four short double-helical elements and three loops (D, anti-codon, and T loops). Lineage: Duplodnaviria; Heunggongvirae; Uroviricota; Caudoviricetes; Crassvirales. The record is from RNAcentral.
GGGCUCGUAGUUCAGUUGGCUAGAACGCUACUUUUGCAAGGUAGAUAUCGUGGGUUCGAGUCCCACCGUGGUCCA